RNAcentral lists this small RNA (27 nucleotides) under Bombyx mori (domestic silkworm). Its description in RNAcentral is "ovarian small RNA-15654". The record is from RNAcentral. Lineage: Eukaryota; Metazoa; Arthropoda; Insecta; Lepidoptera; Bombycidae.
GACUUGGUCAUGGCGCUUCGUAAGGCU